UGGUGUCCUCAGAACUGGUGCAAAG
Molecule: non-coding RNA, 25 nt
Filed under: Mus musculus (house mouse)
Lineage: Eukaryota; Metazoa; Chordata; Mammalia; Rodentia; Muridae
Source: RNAcentral